AUACGUAGGGUGCGAGCGUUGUCCGGAAUUACUGGGCGUAAAGAGCUCGUAGGUGGUUUGUCGCGUCGUCUGUGAAAUUCCGGGGCUUAACUCCGGGCGUGCAGGCGAUACGGGCAUAACUUGAGUACUGUAGGGGAGACUGGAAUUCCUGGUGUAGCGGUGAAAUGCGCAGAUAUCAGGAGGAACACCGGUGGCGAAGGCGGGUCGCUGGGCAGUAACUGACGCUGAGGAGCGAGAGCAUGGGUAGCGAACAGGAUUAGAUACCCUGGUAGUCCAUGCCGUAAACGGUGGGCGCUAGGUGUAGGGGUCUUCCACGACUUCUGUGCCGUAGCUAACGCAUUAAGCGCCCCGCCUGGGGAGUACGGCCGCAAGGCUAAAACUCAAAUGAAUUGACGGGG
Molecule: ribosomal RNA, 398 nt
Filed under: uncultured bacterium
Lineage: Bacteria
Description: partial 16S ribosomal RNA
Rfam family: Bacterial small subunit ribosomal RNA
Source: RNAcentral